CACGUAGGCGGCUUUGUAAGUUAGAGGUGAAAGCCCAGGGCUCAACCCUGGAAUUGCCUUUAAGACUGCAUCGCUUGAACAUCGGAGAGGUAAGUGGAAUUCCGAGUGUAGAGGUGAAAUUCGUAGAUAUUCGAAAGAACACCAGUGGCGAAGGCGACUUACUGGACGAUUGUUGACGCUGAGGUGCGAAAGCGUGGGGAGCAAACA
This 207-nucleotide ribosomal RNA is filed under the name uncultured bacterium. RNAcentral's name for it is "partial 16S ribosomal RNA". It matches the Rfam family "Bacterial small subunit ribosomal RNA", at positions 568 to 774 of the family's 1533-position model. The record is from RNAcentral.